This 72-nucleotide transfer RNA is filed under the name Camelus bactrianus (Bactrian camel). It matches the Rfam family "tRNA". Rfam says of the family: Transfer RNA (tRNA) molecules are approximately 80 nucleotides in length. Lineage: Eukaryota; Metazoa; Chordata; Mammalia; Artiodactyla; Camelidae. RNAcentral also lists the same sequence under 3 other names. The record is from Rfam by way of RNAcentral.
AAGGGUAUAGCUUAGUGGUAGAGUGUGUGCUUAGCAUGCAUGAGGUCCUGGGUUCAAUCCCCAGUACCUCCA